UUCUCUCUCUCUCUCUCUCAAAAACGUCUCUCUCUCUCUCUACUCUCUCUCUCUCUCUACAACACUCUCUCUAUCUCAAAUCUCUCGCCCUCGCCCGACUCCCUCAGAUCUGGAAAUCGACCCCGAUCCCACGCGGCGCCGCCUCCUUCCACGGCGACGGCGGAGACGCCGCCACCCUCCCUCUACUCACGACACCCCUACUGCCCCUAUUUCUCUUCGAUUUCCGGCGAAAACGGCUCUCUGCCGCCACCGGUCUCCAGAUAUCGGCCUCCCUCUCUCCGAUGGCAGCAGCCGUCACACAUCCACCACCACCGCCUCUGUGAAACUCCCCUCUUCCUUGCAGACGGACAGUGGCGCUGAGCCACCGCCUCCGCCUUACCUCUCGCCCAAAUUCUAAAUUUGGGCUCCCGAUGUUCAGCUCCCGAUUGGGGCUUAGGGUUAGGGAAGGAUUGGGAUUUUGGCGGUGGGAUUGAAUUGAUGAUAGACGAUUUGUUCUGAUCUCGUCGUCGUCGUCGUUGUUCGUUGAUGGAAUUUAAAAUCUUGCCCCCUUAUUUGGAGCCUUGAAUUCUAGGAUUCUUUCAAACUGAGACUCAAAAUAAAAAUUAAUGUGCUUACUUCAGUUAAAUGAUAUAUUGAACGGGUAGAGGGUCUUUGUUCAGUCAAAAUUUUGGGAGCAUGGUGCAUUUUUCUCCUUUCUCUUACAUUUUCUAUGGAUAACUUGCAGAUAAUUCAUCUUAAACAUGGAGCUCUUAAAGAUGAAUAUUGUUUCUACUAGUUAGAUUUUGCUUGGGCCAUUGAUGAUAUGGCUUAUGCGUGAAUGAAUCUUUAGCUAUUAGAUCAUCUUUUUUCAUACAGUUGUAUGUGUGCCAUUUUAAGUUGUAUAAUGGUUGCAGGGGAACUUAGAUUUCAUAUCAUGAUGCAUUAAAGAAAAUUGGGUGUUUGUUUGUGUUUAUUAGCUUAGCUUCAUGUUUGAUUAGGUUACCUUUUGUUUUCCCCUUUUUCUGCCAAAAAAAAUAAUAAUAAUGCAGCGAAAUCAUGUGGAGAUGGGAAGCAGAGGGCCAAGCACUCCGCCAUGGCUAGAUAUCUUGCCGUUGACCUCGCCAAUGAAGUUCAAGCAGAACCCCAACAAUACUCUGAUGAGGAGUGGGUUCCUACCAAGAGAUCAAGAUCAGGCCCCGCAAAGAAUAAUUCUAGAGGCAAGGCAGUUCGAACGCCUGUGAGGAGGCAACCGAGGGCCAGUGUAAAUGCCCAAAAGGUGGCUAUGGCAGAAAAGAGGGAGAAGGAUGCUCUUGAUCAGGUUGGUGAAUUGGAAAGAAAGAUUACUGAGAUGACAGACAAGAUGAAUGGCUGAUGGAAAACCAGUAGCUGCUUAUGUUAUCUACAAACACCUUCUCCAUUGGAAUGCCUUUGAAUAUGAGAGGACUACUAUUUUUUAUUUCAUCAUUGAGAGCAUCAAUGAAGAAUUGAAGUCUCCAAGACAACCUGAUUCCGUGCAAUGUGGAUUUUUCGUGAUGCGUUACAUGAAAGAAAUUAUCGAAGAGCUUAUGAGGAAUGGUCGCAUUUGCCUACAUCCACAUUUUGACAAUCGGAGUUAUACUAAAGAGGAUAUUGAUGAAGUUCGUGUUGAGUGGGCGAAUCUCAUUCUUAGUUACAUAUAAAAAGUAGAGGAUAUGCUGGGAACGAAGCUAAAAUAUAAGAGACUUUUGCUGAAUUUUCCACGAAGAUUCUUGUUUUUGAAAACAAAUAUUGUACUUUCUUUAUUUUGUUAUAUUUAAUCUCAUGUCGUAUAUUAGCUUCAUUUCAGUGUACAUUUAUCAGAUUAUGAAAUAUUGUGAAAGUAUAUAUGACAAUUAUAAUUUUUUGGUGCA
This is a long non-coding RNA of Salvia miltiorrhiza (redroot sage), 1868 nucleotides long. RefSeq lists it as uncharacterized. Lineage: Eukaryota; Viridiplantae; Streptophyta; Magnoliopsida; Lamiales; Lamiaceae. The transcript has 6 exons. The record is from RefSeq and is a predicted model, not a curated record.